GUCAAAGUGACAUACGACAGCACAGGACCCCCGGAAGCGGCUGUUCAGUAAUGGAAGGGUCAACGGAUGGUUGCAAGUCUCAUCUGGGAGAGGGGUGGGGACUACAGGGUGAGGGCAGAGAGGGAGGACCCCAGCGCCCACAGGGCUCGCCAAGGUGGGCACAGCGUGAGGGCGGGCUUCAAACCCAGCCUAGUGGGGAGAGCCUCGUGUGCAGAGAACAGAAGAGUGAGCACGCAAGAACCUGCGUGUCUCAGGGGCCCCACCAUCCGCAGGCUCCGGAGCAGGAGGAGGAGAUAAUCCAGGUGCUUGUCCUUGACGGUGUCUGUCUCCAUGGAGGAUAGUGGAUUCUGGAGCCAGGAAGCCAGAGAACUAUAUUGCAGAGGAACCAAAGAAUCCAUGAGGUGAAAUUCCGAUGAACUUUCUAACAGGAGAAUCCGGUUGACCCCACCUGAGCUUACUGACCUAUCCUGUCACAACUCAAAGUAGAAGAAAGACGAUGAGCCUCCCCACUGGGCCACGAUGGAAAGCACAGCACCAUCUACAAAGGGUUCUUGCCUUUAAAAGUAAACCUGAAUCCAAUCAAGUCUCUGAAUCCAACCACUAGCUUUUAAGAAAUACAGAAGACAAAGGAAGAAGUUAAAGAAGGCCUCUGGGCAGCAAUCAGCCACAUCUAGGAUACAGGACAUCCUAGAGAUGCAGAGAACAAACUAGUUUCUCCAAGAAAUCAAUGGCAUUUUUAAUAAGAAUAAAGAAUAAAGCAAAAAGAACCAAGGAUAUUUAAGAUAUACCCAAACGCAAUGUGUGGGUCUUGUUUGGAUCCUGAUUCAGACAAAUGAACUCUAAAAGACCUUGUUAAGAAUUUGAUCAGGCUAAGGGACUAUGGGAUUUGAUAACUCGUGUAUUAAAGAAUGGCCCUGCAAAUGUUACUCUAUCAUAAAAAUGUAACCACUCUAAUUGAAUUUAGAAGCAAUAUUAAAAUUAUUCUUUUGGUGAUGCUUCCUAGAUGUAUUAAAUAAAAUAUUUAAAGUAGCAAUUGAUUAAACUGCAAAACAAUAAAGAAUUUGAUCGUGAA
RNAcentral lists this long non-coding RNA (1072 nucleotides) under Equus asinus (donkey). Its description in RNAcentral is "lncRNA (ENSEASG00005034710.1)". The record is from RNAcentral. Lineage: Eukaryota; Metazoa; Chordata; Mammalia; Perissodactyla; Equidae.